UACAAUUCAUUUUUUGUUGUC
This 21-nucleotide non-coding RNA is filed under the name Caenorhabditis elegans. The record is from RNAcentral. Lineage: Eukaryota; Metazoa; Nematoda; Chromadorea; Rhabditida; Rhabditidae.